GUUUUAGUAAUUUAAUAAAAAUAUUAGAUUUGUAAUCUAAAAUUAGGACUAACCUUUAAAACU
This 63-nucleotide transfer RNA is filed under the name Abrus daozhenensis. Its description in RNAcentral is "tRNA-Thr". Lineage: Eukaryota; Metazoa; Arthropoda; Insecta; Hemiptera; Cicadellidae. The record is from RNAcentral. RNAcentral also lists the same sequence under 1 other name.